UCGGCAACGGAUAUCUCGGCUCUCGCAUCGAUGAAGAACGUAGCGAAAUGCGAUACUUGGUGUGAAUUGCAGAAUCCCGUGAACCAUCGAGUCUUUGAACGCAAGUUGCGCCCGAAGCCUUCUGGCCGAGGGCACGCCUGCCUGGGCGUCACGCAUCGCGUC
RNAcentral lists this ribosomal RNA (162 nucleotides) under Ceratocarpus arenarius. RNAcentral's name for it is "23S ribosomal RNA". It matches the Rfam family "5.8S ribosomal RNA". Rfam says of the family: 5.8S ribosomal RNA (5.8S rRNA) is a component of the large subunit of the eukaryotic ribosome. It is transcribed by RNA polymerase I as part of the 45S precursor that also contains 18S and 28S rRNA. Lineage: Eukaryota; Viridiplantae; Streptophyta; Magnoliopsida; Caryophyllales; Amaranthaceae. The record is from RNAcentral.